Molecule: ribosomal RNA, 2900 nt
Filed under: Clostridioides difficile
Lineage: Bacteria; Bacillati; Bacillota; Clostridia; Peptostreptococcales; Peptostreptococcaceae
Description: 23S ribosomal RNA
Rfam family: Bacterial large subunit ribosomal RNA
Source: RNAcentral
UGGUCAAGUUAUUAAGGGUGCAGGGCGGAUGCCUUGGCACUAGGAGCCGAUGAAGGACGUGAUAAGCUGCGAUAAGCUUCGGGGAGUUGCACGUAAACUUUGAUCCGAAGAUUUCCGAAUGAGGAAACUCACUUAGAGUAAUGUCUAAGUAUCAUUAAGUGAAUACAUAGCUUAAUGAGGGGAACUCAGGGAACUGAAACAUCUAAGUACCUGAAGGAAGAGAAAGAAAUUCGAUUCCGUAAGUAGCGGCGAGCGAACGCGGAUUAGCCCAAACCAAUAAAGUUUUCUUUAUUGGGGUUGCGGACAUAUCAUAACGAAGAGGUAUCGUAAUUGAAGAGGUUUGGAAAGACCCACCACAGAAGGUAAUAGUCCUGUAUGUUAAACGAGAAGACUUUAGAUAUGAUCCAGAGUACCACGGGACACGUGAAACCCUGUGGGAAGCAGGAGGGACCACCCUCCAAGGCUAAAUACUACCUAGUGACCGAUAGCGUAUAGUACCGUGAGGGAAAGGUGAAAAGAACCCCGGGAGGGGAGUGAAAUAGAACCUGAAACCCUGCACUUACAAGCUGUGGAAGCACAUUUCUUGUGUGACCGCGUACUUUUUGUAGAACGGGCCAACGAGUUACGUUAAGUAGCAAGGUUAAGCACUUAAGGUGCGGAGCCGUAGCGAAAGCGAGUUUUAACUGAGCGUUCAGUUACUUGACGUAGACCCGAAACCGGGCGACCUACCCAUGAGCAGGAUGAAGCGAAAGUAAAAUUUCGUGGAGGUCCGAACCCACGAGCGUUGAAAAGCUCGGGGAUGACUUGUGGGUAGCGGUGAAAUUCCAAUCGAGCCCGGAGAUAGCUGGUUCUCCCCGAAAUAGCUUUAGGGCUAGCCUCAAGGUGAGAGAUACGGAGGUAGAGCACUGAAUGUCCUAGGGGGUAUUGCACCUACCGAAGACUAUCAAACUCCGAAUGCCGUCAUCUUAUACUUGGGAGUCAGACUGUGGGUGAUAAGAUUCAUAGUCGAAAGGGCAACAGCCCAGAUCGUCAGCUAAGGUCCCUAAAUGUAAGUUAAGUGGUAAAGGAUGUGGGAUUGCACAGACAACCAGGAUGUUGGCUUAGAAGCAGCCACUCAUUCAAAGAGUGCGUAAUAGCUCACUGGUCGAGUGAUCCUGCGCCGAAGAUUUCCGGGGCUAAAACUUACUACCGAAGCUACGGCAUCAGUAAUGAUGGGUAGGGGAGCUUCCCAUACGGGUUGAAGCAUGACCGUAAGGACAUGUGGACAGUAUGGGAGUGAGAAUGUUGGCAUGAGUAGCGAGAUGUGGGUGAGAAUCCCACAGGCCGUAAACCCAAGGUUUCCAGGGGAAGGUUCGUCCGCCCUGGGUUAGUCGGGACCUAAGCUGAGGCCGAAAGGCGUAGGUGAUGGACAACAGGUUGAUAUUCCUGUACUACCGAUAACCGUUUGAGAGAAGGGAUGACACAGUAGGAUAAGCUAAGCACACUGUUGGUUAUGUGUGCCCAAGCAUUGAGGCAGUCAAAGUAGGCAAAUCCGCUUUGAUAAUGCUGGGAUGUGAUGGGGAGCGAAAUUUAGUAGCGAAGUAGCUGAUUUCACACUGUCAAGAAAAGUCUCUAUCGAGGUUAAAGGUACCCGUACCGCAAACCGACACAGGUGGGUGAGGAGAGUAUCCUAAGGCCAGCGAGAGAACUGUUGUUAAGGAACUCGGCAAAAUGACCCCGUAACUUAGGGAUAAGGGGUGCCACCAUCAGGUGGCCGCAGAGAAUAGGCCCAAGCGACUGUUUACCAAAAACAUAGGUUUCUGCUAAGUCGCAAGACGAUGUAUAGGAGCUGACGCCUGCCCGGUGCUGGAAGGUUAAGGGGAUCUGUUAGAGCAAUCGAAGCAGUGAACUUAAGCCCCAGUAAACGGCGGCCGUAACUAUAACGGUCCUAAGGUAGCGAAAUUCCUUGUCGGGUAAGUUCCGACCCGCACGAAAGGCGUAACGAUUUGGGCACUGUCUCAACAACAGACUCGGUGAAAUUGUAAUUCCGGUGAAGAUGCCGGAUACCUGCGACAGGACGGAAAGACCCCAUGGAGCUUUACUGUAGCUUGACAUUGGGUCUUGGUACUACAUGUACAGGAUAGGUGGGAGGCUUUGAAACCAGGACGCCAGUUUUGGCGGAGCCAUCCUUGGGAUACCACCCUUGUAGUACUGGGACUCUAACCAUAGGCCAUGAAUCUGGUCUUGGGACACUGUCAGGUGGGCAGUUUGACUGGGGCGGUCGCCUCCCAAAAGGUAACGGAGGCGCUCAAAGGUUCUCUCAGUACGGUCGGAAAUCGUACGUAGAGUGUAAAGGCAAAAGAGAGCUUGAUUGCAAGACAUACAGGUCGAGCAAGGAUGAAAAUCGGACUUAGUGAUCCGGUGGUUCUGCGUGGAAGGGCCAUCGCUCAACGGAUAAAAGCUACCCUGGGGAUAACAGGCUUAUCUCCCCCAAGAGUCCACAUCGACGGGGAGGUUUGGCACCUCGAUGUCGGCUCAUCACAUCCUGGGGCUGUAGUAGGUCCCAAGGGUUGGGCUGUUCGCCCAUUAAAGUGGUACGCGAGCUGGGUUCAGAACGUCGUGAGACAGUUCGGUCCCUAUCCGUCGCAGGCGUAGGAAAUUUGAGAAGACCUGUCCUUAGUACGAGAGGACCGGGAUGGACGUACCUCUGGUGUACCAGUUGUUCUGCCAAGGGCAUGGCUGGGUAGCUAUGUAUGGAAUGGAUAAGCGCUGAAAGCAUCUAAGCGCGAAGCCAACUUCAAGAUAAGAUUUCCCACCGCAAGGGUAAGACCCCAGAAAGACUAUCUGGUUGAUAGGUCGAAGGUGUAAGUGCAGCAAUGUAUUUAGCUUAUCGAUACUAAUAGGUCGAGGACUUGACCAAU